RNAcentral lists this ribosomal RNA (428 nucleotides) under uncultured bacterium. RNAcentral's name for it is "bacterial SSU rRNA". It matches the Rfam family "Bacterial small subunit ribosomal RNA", at positions 28 to 439 of the family's 1533-position model. The record is from RNAcentral.
GAUGAACGCUGGCGGCGUGCUUAACACAUGCAAGUCGAACGAAGCAAUUUAGCGGAAGUUUUCGGAUGGAAGCUAGAUUGACUGAGUGGCGGACGGGUGAGUAACGCGUGGGUAACCUGCCUCACACUGGGGGACAACAGUUAGAAAUGACUGCUAAUACCGCAUAAGCGCACAGGACCGCAUGGUCCAGUGUGAAAAACUCCGGUGGUGUGAGAUGGACCCGCGUUUGAUUAGCUAGUUGGUGGGGUAACGGCCUACCAAGGCGACGAUCAAUAGCCGACCUGAGAGGGUGACCGGCCACAUUGGGACUGAGACACGGCCCAAACUCCUACGGGAGCAGCAGUGGGGAAUAUUGCACAAUGGGGGAAACCCUGAUGCAGCGACGCCGCGUGAGUGAAGAAGUAUUUCGGUAUGUAAAGCUCUAUCAG